Molecule: ribosomal RNA, 353 nt
Filed under: uncultured bacterium
Lineage: Bacteria
Description: bacterial SSU rRNA
Rfam family: Bacterial small subunit ribosomal RNA
Source: RNAcentral
GGGCCCGCACAAGCGGUGGAGCAUGUGGUUUAAUUCGAUGCAACGCGAAGAACCUUACCUACUCUUGACAUCCAGAGAACUUUUCAGAGAUGAAUUGGUGCCUUCGGGAACUCUGAGACAGGUGCUGCAUGGCUGUCGUCAGCUCGUGUUGUGAAAUGUUGGGUUAAGUCCCGCAACGAGCGCAACCCUUAUCCUUGUUUGCCAGCGAGUAAUGUCGGGAACUCCAGGGAGACUGCCGGUGAUAAACCGGAGGAAGGUGGGGACGACGUCAAGUCAUCAUGGCCCUUACGAGUAGGGCUACACACGUGCUACAAUGGCGCAUACAGAGGGCGGCCAACUUGCGAGAGUGAGCG